Molecule: transfer RNA, 86 nt
Filed under: Porphyromonas somerae
Lineage: Bacteria; Pseudomonadati; Bacteroidota; Bacteroidia; Bacteroidales; Porphyromonadaceae
Also listed under: 1 other name
Description: tRNA-Ser
Rfam family: tRNA
About the family: Transfer RNA (tRNA) molecules are approximately 80 nucleotides in length. Their secondary structure includes four short double-helical elements and three loops (D, anti-codon, and T loops).
Source: RNAcentral
GGAGAGAUGGCAGAGUGGUCGAAUGCGGCGGUCUCGAAAUCCGUUGUACCGCAAGGUACCGGGGGGGUCGAAUCCCGCCCUCUCCG